Molecule: RNA transcript, 2289 nt
Organism: Melozone crissalis (California towhee)
Lineage: Eukaryota; Metazoa; Chordata; Aves; Passeriformes; Passerellidae
Gene: PRRG3
Gene name: proline rich and Gla domain 3
Exons: 4
Source: RefSeq, a predicted model, not a curated record
GCGGCGGGCGCGGGGCCGCCAUGAGGUAGGCAGGAGCCCCCCUGGCCGAGUGAGGCAGCAUGGCAAGUGGGAGUCGAGAGGAGGUGCUGAAGGUCUGACCCCUGCAGCAUUUCUGUCUCUGUGUGCUGCUUGCUGUGCAGGAAGGGCCUCCCCAGGGCUCUCUGGGCUGCCUGUCUGCUCUGACAUCUCUCAUCAGCAGUGCUCCUCGUGCCCAUGGCUGGCACCCUGGCAGUGCCCACCCUGGGGGCCACACUGCCCUGUGUGCCCGGUGGCAUCGGGGCUCUGUGUUCUGUGCAAGCUGCCGAGCUCAGCCCCACCCCGAGCUCGCUGUGCCACACCCAGAGCACUGCUGGGCCAGCACUAAAGAUGGGCUGAGCCUGGCAAGGCUGCGGAGGGGUGUGUGGCCUGUCCAGAGCUGGGCUCAAGCCUCCCUCUGGCUCUCCUGGGCAGCCUGCAUGGAGGCUGUGUGCCCUGGUGUGAUGGGAGCACAAGGAGGAGAUGGAGAGAUCUGUCUGGGAUCUCAGGAUUUGCUUGGAGUGCCACCAGAGCCAGCUGUGAAGGUGGAGGCAGUAGCCACGCUGGGGAGGAGGAGGACCCCAGGGAUGACAGUGGCCAGCUCAGCAUGGCAAAGCAGGGAAGGGGUCCAGUGACUGCUUUCUGCAGGGAUGGAUGGAAAACCCUGACGGUGAGAUCUGCAGCCAAGCCUGUUGCUCUAAGAUGUGCUGAGGAAGUUGAAAUCCAAGUCUCAGGCCCAAGGGCCAAGGAGGGGAGAGUUUAUACCACGGCCUGAUCAAGGUGGGAGGCAAAGGAGGUGAGGCCAGACUUCUCCAGCAAAGUACAGGACAUUUGCAGAGUGAAUGUUGUCUUUGUAAAAUUUCAUCUCCUUCUGGAAAGGCUCAAGACAAGGUCAGCCUGCCAGCCUGUUCCCUCUGCAGCCAGCAUAGCCCUCAACUGUGAAAGCCAAGGCAAGCUGAUCCCUGCCCUUCUGCAAGAUGCCUUCUGUGCCUCUUGAAAAUGCUUUUUCGGUUGUCCUUGUAAAAAGAAAAAAAUGGUUUGCAUAAUAAAGUCGAUUCUGAGGGAAGAUCUGUGACUCACAUCAUUCAUGCUGCUCUUCAUUCACACCUCAGUGGUUCAGCCCUCUGCAAACUCUCACAGAUGCAAGGCAUUAAUAAAUCACAAGGGGAAAAUGCACCUACACCGCACAAAAGCAGCUCAGUGCCUCCAAGCCCAGGCUGGUGUAGCACAGUAGUAGUUGUUUCUUACACUAUGAUCUUGUCCCUGUUGAUAUUUCCAAAUACUCCCACAAAUACCUUGCUGUAUUGCUUCAGCAGCAGGAUACAUGGAAGGUAAAGCAGAAGGAAACUUGCCUUUCUCCCUGGCAAAAGGCUCCUAAGGAGAGAAGUUGGUGGCUUUUCACUGACUGUUUUGCUUGUGGAGCCAGUAUUUUGUUAGCACCAAGCUGGUCAGAUGGGAGAUUGUGUCCCCCUGCCUCCUCUGCUCCUGCUGCUGUGUGAAUGGGUUCACCUUGUUGAUCCAGUGGAAGACUGAGCCUGAGGGUGAAGGAGGUCAAUAGGUUCCUGUGGAUCACCCAGCUGAACUGAUUCAUGCUCCCAAAGGAAGCAGCAGGAUUUUGUGGCUUGGUGAGAAGAGCUGGAAGCAGCCUGGAGCUGAGUGUGUUGAACUGCAUUGUGGAAACACUCAUUCAUGAAAUGUGUGUUUGGAUCCUGGAACGAUCAUGUUCUGUGUGAAGUUUCUGCUCUCUGAGCAAACAGCUUCUUUGCCUCCUGUGCUGCUGCAGGUCCUGGCAGGUGCUGGUCUCCUGCACCCCCUGGAGGUGUCCCUCCUGCAGGAUAUGGAGAGAGGCUUUGGUGUCCCUCUUGCAGGCAGGAGGGUGCUGUUCCUGCUCUGUCUGGCUUCAGGACUGCAUGCACUAUGGGAGGAUUUGAGGAAUCUCCCAGGUUUUGGGAGCAGAGGAAAGUUUGUGAGGCCUCUGCACCAAAACACAGUGGGGAUGAGAAUGUGCUGCUGUGUGAGGAGAGGUUGCUCAGGCCCCUGACUCACAUCCCCCUGUGCUGUCCCUGUGUUCUGGGGAUGCCUGCCCUUGUUCUCCUCGGCCUGGGAGAAGACAGUGGUUUCUCUAGGGCCUGGACAGAGUCCUUGGUGCCACCUGAGCUUGCAUGACCCUGAGCAGCUGGCAGCAGGGACACCAGCUCCCAGCAGGCUGUCCUGUUGAACUGUGGGCUCUGAGUCCCUCUCAGUGCUGGCCCCCUGUCCUGGCACAGCUCUGUG